RNAcentral lists this ribosomal RNA (252 nucleotides) under Triticum aestivum (bread wheat). RNAcentral's name for it is "partial small subunit ribosomal RNA". Lineage: Eukaryota; Viridiplantae; Streptophyta; Magnoliopsida; Poales; Poaceae. The record is from RNAcentral.
GAAAAAAAUAGGAGAGAAAAAAACCCGAGAGAAGCAAAAGUAACUUUUGAAGGUUUAUUUAUGGAAGCCCUACCCAAUGGAAUGUUCCGUGUUUGGCUUGAGAAUGACACCAUCAUCCUAGGCUAUAUUUCAAGAAAGAUACGGUCUAAUUCUAUACGAAUAUUGAUGGGGGAUAAGGUCAAAAUUGAAGUAAUUCAUUAUGAUUCAAGCAAGGGGCGUAUAAUUUAUAGACUUCCCCAUAAGGAUUCGUAG